CCUACGGGUGGCAGCAGUAGGGAAUCUUUCACAAUGGGCGAAAGCCUGAUGGAGCAACGCCGCGUGCAGGAUGAAGGCCUUCGGGUUGUAAACUGCUUUUAUAAGCGAGAAAUAUGAUGGUAACUUAUGAAUAAGGAUCGGCUAACUACGUGCAAGCAGCCGCGGUCAUACGUAGGAUCCGAGCAUGAUCCGGCGUGUACGGGUGUAAAGAGUUACGUAGGUGGGUUAGUAAGAAGCUAGGGAAAUCUGGUGGCUCAACCAUUCAGACUGUUCUCCAAACUGUUAAGCUCGAGACCGUUAGGGGUAACUGGAAUUUCUAGUGUAGGAGUGAAAUCCGUAGAUAUUAGAAGGAACACCAAUAGCGUAGGCAGGUUGCUGGGACGGUUCUGACACUAAGGCACGAAAGCGUAGGGAGCAAACAGGAUUAGAUACCCCAGUAGUC
This 442-nucleotide ribosomal RNA is filed under the name uncultured bacterium. RNAcentral describes it as "partial 16S ribosomal RNA". It matches the Rfam family "Bacterial small subunit ribosomal RNA", at positions 338 to 795 of the family's 1533-position model. The record is from RNAcentral.